ACUACUUUUUCCUGGUUUUUUGGAUUUUGCACCUGAGUCUGAUAUCGUAGAUGGACCAUUUUUGCAUCAGAUUACUACUUUUUCCUGGUUUUUUGGAUUUUGCACCUGAGUCUGAUAUCGUAGAUGGACCAUUUUUGCAUCAGAUUGUUUUUUGGAUUUUUCACCUGAGCCUGACAUCUUAGAUGGACCAUUUUCGCAUCAGAUUACUACUUUUUCCUGUUUUUUUGGAUUUUGCACCUGAGUCUGACAUCGUACAUGGACCAUUUUCGCAUCAGAUUGUUUUUUGGAUUUUUCACCUGAGCCUGACAUCUUAGAUGGACCAUUUUCGCAUCAGAUUACUACUUUUUCCUGGUUUUUUGGAUUUUGCACCUGAGUCUGACAUCGUGGAUGGACCAUUUUUGCAUCAGAUUACUACUUUUUCCUGGUUUUUUGGAUUUUGCACCUGAGCCUGACAUCGUAGAUGGACAAUUUUUGCAUCAGAUUGCCCCCAAAACUGCAAUUUUUUGUUCAAAGUACCAAUUUUUUCUGGUUUUCUGGAUUUUCCACCUGAGCCUGACAUCGUAGAAGGACCAUUUUUGCAUCAGAUUGGUUUUAGGGAUUUUGCACCUGAGUCUGACCUCGUAGAUGGACCAUUCUUGCAUCAGAUUGUAGGGAUUUUGCACCUGAAUCCGACAUCGUAGAAGGACCAUUGUUUAUGCUUGUGAGUUUUCUUUAAUAAAGAAUAUUUUUUAAGUA
This is a long non-coding RNA of Dalotia coriaria, 735 nucleotides long. RefSeq lists it as uncharacterized. The record is from RefSeq and is a predicted model, not a curated record. The transcript has 10 exons. NCBI's taxonomy places the organism in Eukaryota, Metazoa, Arthropoda, Insecta, Coleoptera, Staphylinidae.